CUCAGUAGCUUGGCUGGCAGAGCGUCUGUCCUCUAAGCAGAAUUUCGCCUGUUUGAUUCCGGUUCGUGAGA
This 71-nucleotide transfer RNA is filed under the name Fasciola hepatica (liver fluke). RNAcentral describes it as "tRNA-Arg". The record is from RNAcentral. Lineage: Eukaryota; Metazoa; Platyhelminthes; Trematoda; Plagiorchiida; Fasciolidae.